GUUUGGGUGGUGUAGUUGGUUAUCAGUUGGUUAUCACGCUAGUCUUACACACUAGAGGUCCCCAGUUCAAACCUGGGCUCAGACA
Molecule: non-coding RNA, 85 nt
Organism: Cucurbita moschata (crookneck pumpkin)
Lineage: Eukaryota; Viridiplantae; Streptophyta; Magnoliopsida; Cucurbitales; Cucurbitaceae
Source: the annotation of a RefSeq genome assembly